This is a long non-coding RNA of Girardinichthys multiradiatus, 1879 nucleotides long. RefSeq lists it as uncharacterized. Lineage: Eukaryota; Metazoa; Chordata; Actinopteri; Cyprinodontiformes; Goodeidae. The transcript is spliced from 3 exons. The record is from RefSeq and is a predicted model, not a curated record.
CAGCACAGGUUCCACUCAGAACUGUCAUGAUUCUGGGGUGUUUGUCUGCGCCGUCUUUGUCUGUCUGCUGCUCAAGUCAUAAUGAUGGCUGCCUUCACCUGCUCCUUUCCAACCAGCUCUUAAUCAUGCCUCAUCUGCUCCACCUGCACACCUGGCUUUAAAAGCAGCUCUCUGACUGACAAACAGCGCCAGAUUUUUGAAAGCUUUUGUCUUCUGCUUUCUGGACAUCAACCUUGUUUCUGCCUCCUGACCACCUCUCCCUGCCUAACCCCUGGAUGUGUUUGCCUGAAUCUGCUUCUCUGUGCAUGACCACCAUCACCACAUCCUGCCUAUCCACUGGGUUAAUAAACCUCAGAGCCUGUGUGGCACAUUCCAGCUGUUGCCCUGCCAACACUCUGAGGAGCUGAAAUUCAGCUUCCUGAUUCCUUUACAAAUCCUGAAAAGGUUCCUGAGUUGCCGCUGGUGGUUUCCUGCUGAACGUCAUCUGGAGUUUUUUUUUAAUCUUUUGAAUCUGAUCUGUUGUGUCUGGCUGAAAUUUCGGGUCCUCAGAACCUCCCGUUGCAAGAACAGGCAUUGUCAUGGUCAGCCAAAGUGCACAUGUUUAGUGUCACACCCAGAACUUUUAUUUUGAAAGGAGACGUGAGUGCUGCCAGCAUUAUUCCAGAGGUUGAAGGGGUCAGGGAUCAUCUUGUCAGUGGUCAGACCAUAAGCCACACUCUGCAUCAAAUUGGUUUGCAUGGCUGUCGUCCCACAAGGAUGCCUCUUCUAAAGAUGAAGCACAAGAAAGCCUGCAAACAGUUUGCUGAAGACAAGCAGACUAAGUACAUGGACUACUGGAACAAUGUUCUGUGGUUGGAUGAGACCAAGAUAAACUAUUUGGUUCAGAUGAUGUCAAGUGUGUGUUGGCCACCAGGUAAGUAGUGCAAAGGUGAGUCAUGGUUUGGAGCUGCAUGAAUGCUGCCGGCUAUGGGGAGCUACAGUUCAUUGAGGGAACCAUGAAUGCCAACAUGUACUGUGACAUCCUGAACUCAGAAAGAUCCCUUCCCCUCAGAAACUAGGCCACAGGGCAACAUGAUAAAGACCCCAAACACUCCUCCAAGACAACUACUGCCUUGCUGAAAAAAUGGAGAGUAAAGGGGCUGUACUGGUCAGAGAGCAUCUGUGAGGCAUCCUCAAAUGGAAGAUGGAGAAGCUCAAGGUCUCUAACAUCCACCAGCUCUGUGAUGUGGUCAUGGAGGAGUGGAAGAGGAUUCCAGUGGCAACCUGUGAAGCUCUACUGAACUCCAUUCCCAAGAGAGUUAAGGCAGUGCUGGAAAAUAAUGGUGGCCACACAAAAUAUCAACCCUUUUAGACAUUUCCAUUUAGGAGUGUACUCACUUUUGAGUGGUUUAGGUGUUAAUGGCUGUCUGCUGAGUAAUUUUAAGGGGAUGGCAUAUUUAGUUAUACAAGCUUUGUAUAACAAAGUGUCAUAUCUUCAGUGUUGUCCCAUUAAAAGAAAUUAGAAAAUAUUUACAAAACUGGGAGGAGAGUCCUUACUUUUGUGAGAUACUGGACAUUGUAUAAACCAUGAAUAGAGUGAUUGAAAGACAAGAAUACUUGUAAAAAGUAAUAACAUUUAAAUAUUCAGAUCAAGAAACCCACCGGACCAGUCAACCUAAAGUUGUGGGAAGUUCAAAGCAGGGUAGGUUAUAAAACAAUGUCCCGAAGUUCAAAAAUUACACAGAGCACUGUUCAAUCUAUCAUUAAACUUUUUUUUUUGACAUCAUUGAAUUUUUUAUGUUUUUUUAAACCUACCAAGACAAGGUAGUGCAAGCUAGGAAGGAUAUGUCCCAAUGUCCUAAUAACUAAUAUACCACUGUCAGCGAGCAAUGGCAUUACA